GCGUGGGAACGUGCCCUUUGGUCUGGAAUAACUCAGGGAAACUUGAGCUAAUACCGGAUAAGCCCUUUACGGGGAAAGAUUUAUCGCCGAAGGAUCGGCCCGCGUCCGAUUAGCUAGUUGGUGUGGUAAUGGCGCACCAAGGCGACGAUCGGUAGCUGGUCUGAGAGGAUGAUCAGCCACGCUGGGACUGAGACACGGCCCAGACUCCUACGGGAGGCAGCAGUGGGGAAUAUUGGACAAUGGGCGCAAGCCUGAUCCAGCCAUGCCGCGUGAGUGAUGAAGGCCUUAGGGUUGUAAAGCUCUUUUGUGCGGGAAGAUAAUGACGGUACCGCAAGAAUAAGCCCCGGCUAACUACGUGCCAGCAGCCGCGGUG
Molecule: ribosomal RNA, 373 nt
Filed under: uncultured bacterium
Lineage: Bacteria
Description: bacterial SSU rRNA
Rfam family: Bacterial small subunit ribosomal RNA
Source: RNAcentral